UCCCUCAUGGUCCGCUGGUGAGGACUCCAUGCUUCUAAUGCUGGGGUCCCUGGUUCAAUCCCUAGUGAGGGAA
Molecule: transfer RNA, 73 nt
Organism: Ovis aries (sheep)
Lineage: Eukaryota; Metazoa; Chordata; Mammalia; Artiodactyla; Bovidae
Rfam family: tRNA
About the family: Transfer RNA (tRNA) molecules are approximately 80 nucleotides in length. Their secondary structure includes four short double-helical elements and three loops (D, anti-codon, and T loops).
Source: Rfam